UUCUCGAAGUUGACGUAUUCGGUCCGAAAGAAAUUCGACUGCUAGACGCGUUAGUCUAAUUUUAUAUCGUUAAUUGAAUUAUGAGUGUACAAAACAUAACUAAUCAUGCGACCGACAAUUGUUGUCAUGAGACAAAGUUGGUGAUAUUAUUAUACAUAUAUUGAUCGACACAAGUAUAGCAACGGAAAAGGACCAUCUUCGUUUUCGCUGAAUAAUAAUUUCGUAAAGUUUCGUAAUUACUUGAUAGACAUCGUUUAUUGUUAUCUUUGUUUGCUAUUAUAAAAUGUCUAUGCGUCGAUGAAAUAAAUUCGGGUGUUCGACGAAAGCUCCGUUUGUCUUUACCUACGAUUAUUGUAGUCUGCAAAAAAGUAUGUGUUCAGUAUAUACAUAAUUAUACAAAUAUACUCUUUUGUUGUAUGUUAUUGAUAUAAUAUAGGAAGUCACAUAUGUUUAUUGAUAUUUUUAGACAUUUAUUUAGUAUACCAAGAGGAAGUUAAUAUUCAAUAAAUACGGGAUAUUGAAAUUCAUAACUAGUUUUAAGUAUGUUUUUUUAUCUUCAAUUAUUUUUUUGUACGAUCAAUUAAUUGAUUAAUUUUUUUUUUAUUUGCAAAAUGUGUCUGGGAAUCGAUAUUGUUAAGCGACAACUUAGUUACAAUGCUUAGUAAUACUAAGUAAUAAUACACCUUAUCGAUUGGUGAGCAGUAAUGAAUAUCUGUAUUUAAAUAUUGCACUGACUAAUCAAUAUUGAAAGUUUUCUAAUUUAUCAUCAGGAUAUUUUAUCAGGAGAAUAAAUUUUUACGUUUCUAACGAGAGAAGGAUUUCUUGACUUUUCAUGGAAAAUGAUUUCUACUUUACCGAUAAUGGAUAUAAAAAUGUUCUUUACGUUUGCUUUUCAUUGCUUAAUAUAUUCUAUUAUACUUUAUUAGCUUGAUGGAAAUGUUAUAGAUAGGUCUGUAUGUAUAAAUAAAUAUUAUCUGUCACUAAUUAUUUUUGCAAAAAUAAUAUCAAAGCAAAAAGAACGGAAGAGUAAAAUGUGUAAUAAAUAACUUAAUCCUAGACCAAGGACUAUAUGUUUGCUUUUAACGCAAAACUUUUAUAUUGAAUAAUUUUGGACGAUAUGAUCUGCGGGCGAUACAAUUCUGUCUAAUGUUUAUAUAUUUUUAUUUUCAAAUACAGUUCUAGAACGAAACUUAUAAACAAUACAUUUUAUGUGUUUACAACGAAGGACUGAUGUCAUUUAUUUGUGAUAUAGAAAUUGAAUAUUUAGUAUCAGCUCUUUAAACUGUAAUUUUCUAACGAUUUAUUAAGAAAUAAUAAUAGUUAGUAAAUAGAAUGCAUGCAUGUAAUAUUUAAUAAUAAAUGUUCAUAAUUUAGAUGAGGUGAAUCGUAAUAUCAUUGAAAAAACAAGGGAAUCAAUACUACAUGAUUCUCGCGUUAGAUGUCUCGAUUUUUUCGGGGAUAUUUGAUCCAUCAUAAAAUCAUUCAUCGUUAGGUAUAUAGUGUAUUACAAUUCCUCCUAUUAAUUAAUCGCUAAUAAUAUCGAAAAUCUAUUAUGUGCAUUUUUAAACGAAGAAGAAAGACUAUCACAUCGUACGCCACAUGAAACUGCCGUAGAUACAAAGCAGAAUAAUGAAUCGGAACUCGUCUUACCUGCUUAUUCGCAAAUAAUUGAUAAAAUGGUUCCCGUGACAGAUUUUGUGGUACUGGAGUUUGGAGACAUUUCUGAAGAAAAGCAUAUUGCUCCAUGUGUUCGGUAGGAAGGAAGUGUACGGGUUUAUAUCGAAAAAGACGAUAGAAUUCAAGAGAAUUUAAAUUCAUGUGGUCUCUUUAGAGAAAUUCUAUACAGGAGGAGGAGAUUAUGUUUUCUCUCGUUAUGCUGAAUGUUUUUUCUUGGGUCUUGACAUCCCGUAUUCCAAGAUGGCUUCUUGUAAUAUCUUUUCUUUUUGGCAACAUCUAUAGUUAUUUUAGUUUAAUCGUUCAUUCUUAUUUUUUAUACAUCCAAUUUUAGGAAUAUGUAUUUUUUCUUUGGAUAUCGGUUACAUUCACAAAAUCCUGGAGAUUUUAAAAAAUAGAGAUCGUCAUUCAUUGAAUUACCAUACAUUUAAUAUUUUCAAACUAUUAAGCAAAAAUAAUCGUAUUCAUAUAUCCCAAAAUAUUUGGAAGGUAUUAUCUGAUAUUUUUAUUGGUUGAAUUCACAUCGAAUUAUAGAAUAUUGUAGCGUAUGAAAAUGACGUUCGCAUUAACUAGAAUGAAAAAUUUUCAUUAAAAUAAUUUUUUUUAUUGAUGUCUGUUAUUGCGGAGUAUAUUGUACCAUGGCAAAAUUAUAAUGGCCUAGUACGAUAACUCCUUUCAUAGAUAAAUUGCAUGGCACCGUGCACUUCAUUAUGAAAAAGUGUAACAUUUUCUGUAUUUUCAAUGAUAACGAGUAAAAUGGUACUUGACAUCUGUAAGGAAUAAUUUAUUAUUUAUAUCACAGUGAAUUAGGUAUCUAAUUAAAGUAAAUUAAGAAAAAUACCUACAAUUUUAUAUAUAUUUCUGUGUGAUAGUCUAUCAACUUUUGUCCAAGAUAAUUAUAAAUAUAUAUUACGAACAUAGAUCCGAUAAUAUAAAUACAUUUCUGCAAUCCUUCAUUCGUAUUCGUCGAAUAAGAAAGUAACUGAAACAACUGGAAUGAAAAUUUAUGCCUUUUUAAUUUCGCAAAUAAGAGAUCCAAAAUUUUUUCUAUAUCAAUUAUUUACAUAAACGUAAUUUACGAUGAUAAAAAGUAGCGUCAAUAACACUUCGAACGGAUAAAUAUUUUCAAGGUACAACUUCAUUAAAUCUGCAAAUCUUGGAAAAACGCAAUAAUAAGAAGAAUAAGUAAUAAUAUUAGUAUUAACAAUUAGCACUUUUGCAACUGAAUUUAUAUACUUAGUGUAUAAAUUAUAAAGAGAAUUGGCUUGUAAAAUUGGAUACAAACUCGAUGGCGUUAUCAUAGGACUCUAUGAUAUCGACGAGCCACUUGUACUCCUGUGUGAAUUUAUUACAAUUACUGGCAUCGUUCAAUUUAUCUGUGUUACAUUCAAAUCCUUUCUCUAUCUUCAUACUGUGAAAAAGAAAGAGUACUGUGAAUUACGGAAAAAAGAACUUUAGAUUGAAAAUAUUUAUUCCGUGAUACAUCGUCUUGAUUAAUUAUUUACGCGAUUAUAUUAAAUAGUGCAAAGGUAUGUUGUACAAUUAAUACAAACAUAGAGUAGUGUGCAAUUCCUAUCGUGCUUAUGAUGAAUAUGAAAACGCAUUCCAAUAAAAGUGUCAAAUAGUAAUUCAUUUGAUCUUUCAUAAAAUUAUCGACAAAUUGGCAAGGUUAAUUCAGUUUCAUUUGCUUCAUCAAAAUUAUACAGAGGGAUAUGUAGAACGGAUGGCAAUAUCAAAGAAAUUAUAUAUAGAUAAAAUGCAACUGAAAUAGUAAAAGCAAUUAAUCAUCUUAUUCUAUUGUAAAAUUUUAAUUUUUUAAAAGUUUAAUAAUAUAUUUUUAUUUUUUUUCACUUGCGAUUAUUAUUGUGUACGUUCUUGUACGAUUAGCAUAUUCUUUUAAGAUUAUUAGUUCUGGUUUGUGUGCCAGAUUAUCCCAAUCGCAUUUUACGUGACGCAGAAUUUUUUUCAUCUGAAAGUUUAACGAUACAUUGUUUUUUGUAACACGCGCUUUUGUCACUUCUGAUUAAAAGUGAAGUAUUUGAACCAAGUACGGACGAUUGUAACAUGUGACAAUAAAUUGUAGUAACAUGUUGCGAAGCAGAGAGAAGGCAAGGUCGUUUCCAUCAAUUUAGUGAUCGGAACUACCUUCAUUUCUGAUGUGAUGAGCAAAUAAAUCUAAAGUAGAACUAAUUGUUAUUUAUAUCUAAUAAUUGGUCUUUUAUAUUCCAAUCAUUUGCUUGUACAUUCUAAUGAUAUAUUAAUAUAAUCAAGUAUCAGAAGUAGUUUUACCUGUAAAAGUAAUCCGACGACUAUCAUAAAGUUUAAAACACAAAUGUAUAUCAAUUGCUUUGGCGACAUAUCAUAACGCCAAAUACCUAUUAAUUUGAAAAAUCGAAAAUUAUAAGUAUAGUACUUGCUUCUAAAAUACACGUCAUUUUGCAGACCCAUAGUGAUAACUUGUAUGAGUCAUUGACUUUGACUGACUUCAACCCCAUGCUUUUUCCUGCAUCAUGUAUUCUAAUUUCCCCUUGUAAUAAAUUCUGAAAAUAAUAAACGUAAAUGUACGUAUGAAAAAUUGUAUCGAAGUGAUAGAAAGUGUUUUUGUGUAGCAAUAAUUUAUGUAAUAUCUAUACCCCAUCGUACGUGUCUCCCCUUUUAUGUUUACCGUACAUAACUGAACGAAUGUUUCUUCCUAACCAUUAAGUAAUUAUUUGUCAUUUUCUCUUUACAUUGUUGUUUCUUUUUUCCCUUCCACGAGGAACUUGCGCGGCUUGUACAAAGUCCCUUCUAUGAAGGACAUGCGCGUUCUGUACGGAGUAUCUUCUUUGUUUCAUUCUCUCACAGUAUGAUUUUGCUUCUCGAAGUUGACGCAUUGGUCCGUAACAAAUUCGAGUUCUAGUCCCCUUUGUGUAAUUUUAUAUCGUUAAUUGAAUUAUAAGUGUACAAAACAUAACUAUUCAUGAGACGGACAAUUGUUGUCUCCUUGUCAUGAGACGAUGGUGAUAUUAUCAUACGCAUGACGAUCGUCACAAGUAUAGCAACGGAAAAGGACCAUCUUUAUUUUCGAACAACUGCAAUAUCGUAUGCCUUAAGUAACCGAAGAAGAUAAAAAAGAAAAUAAUGAACGAGAACUCGUCUCACUUGGCUGUUCGCAAAUAAGUGAUAAAAAGACUCCUGUGACAGACAUGUCAAACAUUAUGGUAAAUAAAAUUAAUCGAAUUCCGAGUACGUCAUCGAAUGUAACUCAGUGAUUUAGAAAAUAUCUUGUGGAGCUGAAAUUUGGAGACAAUUUUGAAGAAGAACAUAUUGCUCAAUGCGUUUGGUAGGAAGGUUUAUAUGGAAAAAAACGAUAGGAUUCAAUAGAGUAUGUUUUACCGAGCCAAAAUGAUAAUGGGAUAAUACGAUUAUUCCUUUCAUAGAUAAAUUGCAUGGCACCGUGCUCUUCAUUAUGAAAAAGAGUAAUAUUUUUUGCGUCUUCAACGAUAAGGAGUAAAAUGGAA
This is a long non-coding RNA of Vespula vulgaris, 5174 nucleotides long. RefSeq lists it as uncharacterized. NCBI's taxonomy places the organism in Eukaryota, Metazoa, Arthropoda, Insecta, Hymenoptera, Vespidae. The transcript has 5 exons. The record is from RefSeq and is a predicted model, not a curated record.